CUGUCUUUACGAGCUUUCUUAAUCUAUAUGAGUAGUCAUUGAUCCACGAUUCAAGUUCACCCAAAUUUCCUGCUACUCUUAGACUUACCCUCAUUUUUGCAUCAGGUUUGGCCGAAUCACAAGUACUAUGGGUAUUAAUUGAAUGUUUAGUGCGUUCUGACUUGUUUCUUAUCGUAAAUAUUUCGGCAAAAUUGUCGCUAGCUUUACAUUAUAUACAAUUAGACACAUUGUUCUGGGGCAACAUAGCCCAGGACAGUUGUAAGAAAAGAGGUCACUGGAAUGAGAAGGUAACAUAGCGAAGACUGAACAGAAUGGCGAGGUUUUACGACGAGAAAAUAAUGUACGUAUCGUAAACAGAGUGCUUUUUUGGUUUUCUCCUGCUUCUUUUUAGGGUAGUCUUGGGCCCACUGGAACAAUCGGAGCGCCUGGACUUCCUGGACAGCAGGGGCCAGGUGGAGAGCUUGGUGAAACUGGUGAACCGGGGGUGCCAGGCGAAGUGGGAUUAUCAGGGUCUCCUGGCUCAACCGGGCAAGAUGGAACUCCUGGGGCAAAGGGUUCUAAAGGAGACGACGGCCUCAAUGGUAUCCCGGGAAGUCGGGGUUUCGUAGGAAAAUUUGGUGACAAAGGUGUUGGUGGAACAGUUGGUGCACCUGGGAUAUCUGGUGAACGCGGUGACCAGGGCAAACCUGGAAGAGCUGUAAGUAAUGAAAAAGCAAUCACAUGCAUUUGUCUCUUUUGUUCCAGGUUUCAAGUUUACUUUUUUCACAGCUUGCAAAACAUCCUUGCCUCGCCCACUCCCCUGUACGCCCGUCGGCUCUAAGAGCGGCUACAAAGUUCCUCCACUCCUGUCUGUCACGUGCAUUUCUCUCGUUGACUCCGCAGGUGCAAUUUAGGCUUUGCAAAACAUGAUAAGGCUCAAUUUCCUGACAUUUUGAGGUCCUGCAUCCUUUAGUAGAUGAAAUCCAAACUUUCAAAACAAAUGAAAUUCAAAUCAAGUCCAGCUAAACUGCAACGUAUUCUGCAGCACAACUAAGCGCAGUUGACUGUAACGAUAUACAAGGCAAUGAAUUUUACGUUUCUGCUAUUCUUUUAACUUCCCGACUAUCAACGCCCAAUUCUUCUGUUGUGUUUAAGAAAUGCUUAUCAAAUCUAAAACCAUUGUAAGAUUUCAGUUAAUUUUCUU
Molecule: long non-coding RNA, 1183 nt
Organism: Orbicella faveolata
Lineage: Eukaryota; Metazoa; Cnidaria; Anthozoa; Scleractinia; Merulinidae
Source: RefSeq, a predicted model, not a curated record